This 10426-nucleotide long non-coding RNA is filed under the name Durio zibethinus. RNAcentral's name for it is "long non-coding RNA (DZIB_LNC001495)". Lineage: Eukaryota; Viridiplantae; Streptophyta; Magnoliopsida; Malvales; Malvaceae. The record is from RNAcentral.
UUGGUUACCUCUCCAUUCAAGCUCCUCCCCCAGGUUUUGGCCUCGGCAUUCUAGGGCAGCAGCCGAACCAAGCAUUUGGGCUUGCCCUUUGUAGAGGCGAUGUGUCAACCCCAGAUUGCAAAACCUGUGUUGUUGAAGCAGGCAGUGAAAUCCGCAAACGCUGCCCUGACAACAGAGGUGCAAUUAUCUGGUACGAUAACUGUCUUUUGAAGUAUUCAAACACGGAAUUCUUCGGCCAGAUUGAUAACCAGAACAAGUUCUACAUGUACAAUUCGAAUUCUGUGAGCGAUCCCAUUUCAUUCAAUCAGAAGACUAAGCAACUGCUAAGUCAAUUGGCCAAUGAUGCUUAUGCAACUCCCAAACUGUAUGCCACUGGAGAGAUGGAGCUGUAUGGAUCACAGAAACUUUAUGGAUUGACUCAGUGCACAAGGGACAUUUCCAGCGGUGACUGUAAGAAGUGUCUUGACGGUAUAAUUGGUGAGCUUCCAAGCUGCUGUGACGGGAAAGAAGGAGGUAGAGUUGUUGGUGGCAGCUGUAACGUCAGAUAUGAAAUAUACCCUUUUAUUAAUGCUUAAAAUUUGAAAAAAAAAAAAAAAAGAACUUCUGUUACUGAAAAAAUGUGAAAAAUUAAUGGAUCAAUGCGAUGACUGUCGGUCAUCACUGAACAAAUAAAACUUCUGUUACAAUCAUGCAUAUACGAUGCAUCAGCUCCCUAUUUCAAUAUUGUAAUUUUCUCUUCUCUUUUCCAAUCAAAAUUAUGGAGUACAUGGCCAUUCAAGGAAGAGUUUUCUUUUCCCACUAGCUAAGAGACAGUGACCAGAGAAAAGAGCCACUCUUUUUACUCACAACAAAGUAUUGUUGAAAACUUGCCUCUCAUUUGCUCUCCAUCUGCUCGUUGGGCGCCCAGUUUCUUUAAGCUUUGAAUUUAGCAUUGUGUUAAUUGUCCUAGUGAAUUAGUAGGUGAAUAUAUUGUCCUUCUUUCAAUCUUGAAUGUUUGGGUAUCUUAUAUAUGUUGCUAAUCCCAUCCAAUUUGUGAGGCUAUUUAUAAAGUUCUUCAAGGAGUUUAAUAUAAAUUAAUAUGUAUAUUGCAAUAUACCAUUUUUAAGUUUUAGGAGAUAAAUGUUGAUGUGGGUUCAACUUAACAAUAUUAAAUUUAAUUAAGUCAAAUUAACAAUUUAGAUGCUCUAUAAAAGGCUUUAUAUAUAUAUAUAUAUAUAUAUAUAUAAUAGUUUGGAAGUCCCAUAUAAAUUCCCCUAACAUGAAAGUUCAUCAUUUGAUGUUUCACUCCUUAAAGGUCUCAGAAGUUGACUUUGCUAUUGAUCUCCUGCCAUUCUCUAUUCUCUCGAGGAAAUAACCUCUCGAGAACCAAACUAAUUAAAUGCAAUAAAAAAUAAUUUAUGUAAAGUUUUUUUUUAAAUGAAAUCGUAUUUUAGAGGUAUAAAAAAAUUGUAAAUAUUAAUCAAAUUUUAAUAUCAAAUUUAUUGAAUAAUAAAAUUUGAAUUUUGAGCUUGAACAACGUAAUGUCAACAUUGUAUUCUUGCUUAGUGACUUGCAAAAGGAUAUUUAUAUGAAUCAAUCUAAGAGUUUUGAAGUAAAAAUAAAAUAGCACUUAGUUUACAAACCAAAUAAAAGCUUAUAUGGCUUGAAACAAGUUCCGCGACAGUAGUACAAAAAAUUUUAUUCUUUUAUGGUGAGCCAUAGUUAUAAAAGAAUCGUAGCAGAUUCUUUUGUGUAUAUCAAAAAAUUUUUCUGAUGGUAACUUCAAAAUUUUCCGAUGGUAACUUCAUUAUUCUCUUAUUAUAUGUUGAUGAUAUGUUAAUUAUGGGACAAGAUGCUGGUAUAGUUCACAGGUUGAAAAAAUAAUUAUCUAAGUCCCUUGACAUAAAAGAUUUAGGUCUAGUAAAGUAGAUUCUUGGUAUGGACAUUAUCUGAGAUAGAAGAGUUGAAAAGUUGUGGUUGUCAUAAGAAAAGUAUGUUAAACAAGUGUUUAGUAGAUUCAACAUGCAACAUGCUAAAUCAGUUAGCAAUCUACAUGCUAAAUCAGUUAUCAAUCCACUUGCUAACCAUUUUCAUCUGAGUAAAAAAUCUUGUCUAAUGACUAAGGAAGGCGACUAGCUAUGUCUAGCAUUCUUUAUUCUUUUGCAGUCGAUUCUUUGAUGUAUCUUAUGGUUCGCACACAAUUUAACAUUGCUCAUGCAAUUGGUGUAGUGAGCAAAUUUCUUUCUAAUCUAGGAAAUGUUCACUAAGAAGUAGUGAAAUGAAUUUUUAGAUAUUUGAGGGGCACUUCAAAAAUGUGCUUAAGUUAUGGAGUUUCACAACCAUUCUAAAAAGGUUUACUGAUGCUGAUAUGACGAGUGAUCUUGAUGAUAGAAAAUCUAUUUUAGGAUAUUUGUUCACUUUUAUAAGAGAAGUUGUAUCUUGGCAGUCUAAAUUGCAUAAAUGUGUUAUUUAUCUACUACAGAGGCUAAGUAUAUUGCAACAAUCGAAGCAGGUAAAGCAAUGCUUUGGAUGAAACAUUUUUUUUUAAUUGGAGUUGAAUCAGAAAGAGUACAUGAUGUUCUGUGAUAGCUAAAGUACUUUAGAUUUGAGUAAGAAUGCCAUGUACCAUUCUAGAACGAAGCACAUUGAUGUUAGAUAUCACUGUUACAUUCAGUGAUUGAAAAAUAGCAGAUGUUAUUAAAGAAAAUCUAUACUGAAAGGAAUGUAGUAGAUAUAUUAACUAAAAAACUUCUUAGAAAUAAGCUUAAGCUUUGUAGUAACUUGACCAAAAUAGGUUCAUUGGCCAAAGUAAUUCUAAAUAAAAUUGCUUAUGGUGAUGAAUCUCUUCCUAAUAAGACUAAAAGGAGAUUGUUAAGAAAGUGGAGUCCAACCCCAUAGAUUUUUUUACUAUUCAAAGGUAAUGGAUCUUGUGUUUUUAGGCUUCCUUAAGAAAGUCCUAGCUACUUAAUAAAAAGAGGUAAGGUUAUUUUAAGGUGAAAAAAAAAGUGGCACCGCAAACAAGAAAAGAAAAGGGAAAAAGAAGCUAGAAAAGUAGAGAUAAAAGAAAUAAGGGAGAGUUGGUUGAACAGAAGUCGAUCCAUGAUCUGAUUGGGCUGAAAUUUUAUCUACAUGUUAUUAUUCAGAGUUUUACAUUCUAAACGAUAAAAAUCGAGUUUGAAACUCUCUAGAAACAAAUUCAUGGUAUAUUUGUUGAGUCACCUAUUUGGUGAGAUUUCUCAAAUUGUCUUUCUAGUUGUUGAUUAGCUCUAGUUUUAAUUAGAGAGAACUUUGUAUAUCUAUUAUUUGAUAGUGAUGAUUUUUUUGGUGGUCCACGAUUUUUUUCCUCUACACUAAAGGGUUUUUCACGUAAAUCUUGGUGUGUUUUAUUUUUUCUACAUUGUUAAUUAUUAAUUGUUGUCUAUUACUAUAUAUUUAUUGUAAUAUAUUGCUUUUGUAUUGUUAUAUUUAUUGCUUCAAGCCCAACACAAUUAUCUAGUAUGAUAAUUAUCUUUUGAAGUAUUCAAAGACAUAAUUCUUUGGCUAGAUUGAUAACCAGAACAAGUUUUACAUGUUGAACUCAAAUUCUAUGAGCGAUCCCGUUUCAUUCAAUUAGAAGACUAAGGAACUACUAAGUCAAUUGGCGAAUAAAGCUUAUGCAACUCUCAAACUGUAUGCCGCUAGAGAGAUGGAGUUGUAUGGAUCACAAAAAUUUUCUGGAUUGACUCAGUGCACAAGGGACAUUUCCAGCGGUGAUUAUAAGAAGUGUCUUGACGAUUUAAUUGGUGAGUUUCCAAGCUGUGGUGUUGGCAAAAAAGGAGGUAGACUUAUUGGUAGCAGUUGUAACUUUAGAUAUGAAAUAUACCCUUUUGUUAAUGCUUAAACAUUUGAAAAAAAAAUUUUGUUACUGAAAAAAUGUGAAAAAUUAAUGGAUCAAUGCAAUGACUGUCGAUCAUCACUGAAUAAAUAAAACUUCUGUUAUAAUCAUGCAUAAAUGAUCAUCAGUUUCCUAUUUCAACAUUGUAAUUUUCUCCUCUUUUCCAAUCAAAAUUAUAGAGUACAUGGCCAUUCAAGGAAGAGUUUUAUUUUCCUACUAGCUGCAAGACAGUGAAUAAAAAAAAAAACCACUCUUUUUACACACAACAAAGUAUUGUUGAAAACUUGCCUCUCAUUUGCUUUCCAUCUGGUCAUUGGGUGCCUAGUUUCUUUAAGUUGAAAUAUCAUUUUAGGUCAAAUAAACCUUCUACCUUUCUUCUGUUGGGAUUUUUUAAGUAAAACAAUUUUUACAAUGAGAUCAAUAUGAAACAAAACACAUGAAAAUGGCAAUAUUUAAUGUGGUUCAGCCCAAUUGGUUGCAUUUACGAAUGAAAGAAAAAAUUCACUAUAAACAUAGAAAUUACAAAAUACAAAACACCAUAAACAAACACUAAUAUCAAGCUUUUGAAACAAUCCUAGUUUCCAUUCUCCCUAAUGUAUAACUUAUGCGCUAGUGGUUUUUUGAACAAUUUCUUUUCACAUCCCUACAAAGUUAUCUUCAUAUAGAGAUCUCAUAACUCUCUCAUAAUUAUAAAAGUUAAUACUUACUCUAUAUUUAUUAAGCUUUAAGCUCCAUUACUUGAUCAACAAGAAUUUUUAUUAAUUAAAAGCUCUUACUCAUUAAGAAUAUUUAUCCUUAAAUAAACUCAAUUACCAUGUAAUUCUUUAACUAAUAGAAUUUCACUGGAAUUCAAACUAAUUCCUAAUUAGAAUUUGAGUCAAUAUCUAACAAGUCUCCAUUUUAACACAAAUUCUACCACAAUAUUGACCUUCAAGAAAUUUCAACUCAUAUAGUUGAAUCAAUGCUAUCUCCACUUGAUUCACAUAAGUGGUUAAUACUUAUAUACAGCCAAAUCAACUUCACCCGAUUGACUCUACCUAUAACUAACAUCUUGUUAUAAUAUUUUUCUCUUGCAUAUUUAUAAUCUCACAAACACAAUUUGCAACAAAAAAUUCCCUUUCACAAUCAAUGUGAGAUAAUCUUAAUAAUCUCUCCAUUUCAAACAUCGGGCUAUAGGGAAGAGCUUCUAUACUUGGCUCACAAUGAAGAUGUUGGCAACCUGGCUCUGAUACUACUUGUUGAAAUUUUUAAGCAGAACAAAUUUCACAACAAGAUCAACAUGAAAUAAAUUACAUACAAAAGUAAUAUUUAAUGUAGCUUGACUCAAUUGCAUCCAUGAAUGAGAGAGAAAAUCCAUUAUAAAAGUAAUUAGAAAGAGUACAAAAUACCAUAAACAAAUACUAAUCUCGAGCUCCUAAAACAAUCCCAGUUUCCAUACUCCUUAGUGUAUAACUUAUAAAAUAUCAUUCACUCCAUACAAUCAGUGUUUUUCUGAAUAAAUUUUUUUCACAUCUCUACAAACUUAUAUCCUAUAUAGAGAUCUCAUAACUCUCUAUCAUAAUUCUAAAAGUUAAUAUUUACUCUAUAUUUAUAAAACUCCGAACUCCAUUGUUGAUAACUAAUAAUUUCUAUUUACUAAAAACUCUUAUCCAUUAAAAAUAUUUAUCUUUAAAUAAACUUAAUUACCAAAUAUUGGAAUUCAAACUAAUUCUCAAUUAGAAUUUGAGCCAAUACUUAACAUCUUCUUGCCUUAAUUGAUGGAGAAUAUUGUUGCAUGCAUGCUAAAAUAACGGAUGGUUUACAAUGUAAUAAAGACAGUUCCUCUUCUAGCAACAAACAUUUUUGCAUUAAACUUUGAAUUUAACAUUUUGUUAAUUGUCCUAGUGAAUUAGUAAGUGAAUAUAUUGUGCUUGUUUUCAAUCUUGAAUGUUUGGGUAGCUUAUAUAUGUUUCAAAUCCCAUCCAAUGUGAGAAUAUUUAUAAAGUUUUUCAAGGAGUUUAAUACAAUUCAAUAUGUAUAUUGUAAUAUACCAUUUUUAAGUUUUAGGAGAUAAAUGUUAAUUUGGGUUUAACUUAUCAAUAAUUAAGUCAAAUUAACAAUUUAGAUGCUAUAUAUAUAUAUAUAUACACACACACACACACAUAUAUAUAUAUAGGUAUAUAGUAGUUUGGAAGUCCUAUAUGAAAUUUCCUAGAAUGAAAGUCCAUCCUUUGAUGUUUAACUCUUUAAUGGUCUCAGAAGUUGACUUUGUUAUUAUUCUCCUAGCUUUACUCUUUUAUGUGGAGGAAAUAACUCCUUGAGAACCGAAUUAAUUAAAUGCAAUAAAUAAUAAUCUAUGUAAAAAAAUUUUAAACGAAGUCGUACUUUAGAAGUAUAAAAAAAUUAUAAAUAUUAAUAAAAUUUUAAUCUCAAAUUUAUUGAAUAUUAUUUUUAAUAAUAAUUAUAUAAAUUAAUUAGAUUAGAUUCGGAAUCUAAAAAGUUUUUAAGUUAAGAAAUAUGUGGUUUUAGAUAAAAGGAUUUUUAUCAAUAAUUCAUGCAAUCAAAUAAGUAAUUGAUCAAUACGAUAACUGUUGUGAUGGGUACUUAGACGUUUGAUUAAAAAAUAAAUAAAAUUAUUAUUAGAACACAAGCCGAGUUAGUUGUGAAAACUAUGCCCGUAAGCCCGACAAACGAAAAGUUCUAAACCCAACAAUGAGGCCUACUCAAAAGCACUACCCCAUUAACUCUAUUAACAUCUAGGCCACUUGAUCCAUCAAUUCGGGCGCACCAACCAGGUCCAAAAAUACCACAACAUCUAUAUGAUUUCGUGUAUACGACAAACAUAUACAUUUAAUAGACGAAUUGAUACUUAUAAAAAUCUUUUUGUAUUCGAGCAUAGUAGAGGGGAUGGAUUGCAUAGUCUGUUAAUAAAAUAUUAAAUUUUUAAUUUCAGUAAUUAUGAUUUAAAUUUUGAUAAUUUUAAAUAUAAAAAAAUUUCAAAAAAUGAGUUAAUAUAUUAAUAUCGUCUCUAACAAUUACUAUCCAACUUUAUUUCAAACUAAACUUUAUGAUUAAUUAGCACAAUAAUUUACAAGAAUAUUCAUGGCCAAAUUCAUACCACACCAAAUCAGUCCUUAGUCAUUGUCUCAUAAUUCACAAUAUCAGCCCUCUCGUAGCCUUCUGAAUAGUUUUCUUGUCUUUCAAAGAAAAAGUCAAAUUGUAUGCUCAUAUCUAUGAAAUUAGAGAUGGGGAAUCACAAUCAUUGUGGAAUAGAGAUAAGGGGAAUGGAUAUGUUCAUGAGGAAAUAUAUCUAGUUAGCAACAGCUCUAAGCUUAUCCCCCAAUUUGCAUCCUCAAAAAACCUUAACUGCUCGGUGUAUAUAGGAAGGGCCAUAAAUGGAGAGAUAAGGCAAUUGAAGGAAUGCAAUGCACUACCGGAAAUGCUUUGGCUGUAACCUAAGAAUCUAUCACAAAAAAACCUAUUCACGUCAUAGAUAAAAAUUAGUGACGGAAAUUUUAUAUAAUACAUACCUUUAAUUCAGAAUACCACUGCAAAUUUGUUCAAUUCUAUCACAAAUUUAAUGGCGAUUUUUUUCAUCAUAAAGAUUAUAAGUUCCAUCACAAUUAAUGUUUGAUCAAGUCGGAUAAUGUUUUUUGACGGAAAAGAAGAAGCAACAAAUAGCCAACCUCAACUACGUAGAAAAGACAACGAAACUCCCCUAUCUUUCUAAUCCUUUACCAUGUGCCAGGGUGCUGAAAGGGUAUCUAUUAGCCAAAGUUAUAAUCAUAUGAUAGAAGAAAAGCUAGGCAUUGUUCUAGAAAUGGCAUGGUUAGAUUAAGAGAAGAUCAAGGAAACCAUCUGGCUAUGAUAAGGAAAGGCAUUAGAUGAUAUUAGACCUUUAAAUUUUUUGUUUUCUCUCAUUUUCUCAUCAGCUCACGUCUCUGUCAAUUAAGAUUGAAAGGUACACUUGGUGAAGUCGUCCAAGACGUAAAAGGGAAAGGUGUUGCAUUCGAAAGGGACACUCUCGCUUGCUUUGGGGCUCGUCAAGCAGCCAUUGCCAAACUGUAUGUAGCUUUGAAGUUCGAACCCACCCGCAUAGAGUAGGAAAGGAAAUAUUUCUUCCUGGGGUUUUUCGGUGGUUAAUGGCCUCAACAGCUAUGACAUUACCAAUCACUUAAAUUAUUGACCAGAUUGCAACCUGUUUGGCUUAAUGAAUUCCAACCUGAUUUAGCAAAAAAAUAAUUACCAAUCACUUAAAAUUUUUAAUUACGCAUUUUUAUCACAUACUUUUUAAACAAUAUUAUUUUUUUCAAACUUAAACCUUUUCCAACUGUAACAUCAAUGCCAAACUAAUCCUUAAAAACAUUGAUAAGACAGACAUGGUGAGAUUGCUACUUGGUCAACUCUUACAUACGGUGUACUUAUUUAUUGGUCAAACAUUUGAUUUUUCGUGCUGCAGUGAUCAUAGCCACCUAAAAUCUAUUUUAUGUAAUAAAACAAGAACAAGAAAGUACCUUCUCCAAUACCCCUAGUCCUAGCCAUCUUUCGUAUAAAAAAAUUCCUUCUAUAAUUAUUAAUAUACAAAAGAAAAAAGUGUGAAAUGAACUUCUAGAACUUAGAAAAGGCCAAGGAACUGGUUCGCUAUCAGCUUUCCUAAUAAAGAGAUAUAUUAGUCAAUGAUCAUAUAGAUACAGUUCACAGGUUAUAACAAAGCUGAAAACCAUUCUAUCUGGUGGUGCUAUAUUUGACACAAUCUACAGUGUCUUUUUCCAUAGGUUUUUUUUAAGUGUUUGAACAAUCUCAUCAGGCAUCGAACUUGUAAACUUCCUGGUUCUUUUCAAUUUUCAAACAAAAAUUUUAGUUAAUUUAAUAGUACAUAUUUAGGGAUGAAAAUGGAUAGUAAAUAAACGGAUAUCAAUUAUUAUCCGAUUCAUUUAUAUUGAAUUUGAAUAGUUAUAAAUAAAUAAUUAACGAAUUCGAAUAAAAUAUUUAAUAUUCGUGACGGAUUUGGAAUGAUAUGGAUAGUGUCUUUGAAUAUCUAAUAUUUAACUUUGUUUAAAUUUUAUUGAAUAGUAAUGAAUAUGAUAUCUGAAUCCAUUAUUUAUUUACAUAUGUAAAAUAUAUAAAAUUUUUAUAUUUGUAGAAAGUUUCAAAUAUUAAAAAAUAACUUUUAUUUAUUAUUAAUUAAGACUGAACUUGAAUUUUAAAUUAAAUUCUUGCUUGUUUUAUAUUUUAAUAAAAAAAUUUAAAUAAACAACUAUUUUAACAGAUUCAAAUAUUUAAAUUAAUAUUGUUUAUUAAACAGAUUCAAAUUUAGAUAAUAAUAUUAAACUUAAAUAAAUAUUUAAACAAAUUCAGAUAUUAUAAAUAUUAAAUAGAUUCAGAUAUAGAUAUCUAAAAAAUAGCAAAUAUCCACUCCAUUUCUAUUCCUAUAUAUAUUUACAAUUUUUGCCAAAAAAAUCCCAUGUUAAAAGGAUUUUAGUAGGUUUUGUCUAUGAAAUUAAACACUUAUUUGUACUUAAUAAUUUUAAACAUGAUACAUGAUAAAAAUAUAUAUGAAAAGAAUAUGAAAAUAACAUAAUUUAAAAUUUUAAUAAAAAUUAUAUAUAAAUUUUAUAAAAUAUAUAUAUUUGUAUUUAGCAUAUCUAUAUAAAUUAUGAUAUAAUUUUUUUUAUUUUAUACAUAUUAAAUAUAAAAUAACCAAACACAAAUACACGAAUUUAUCCAUGCAACAUGCAUAUUUACCAAAUGGAUUUGGAUAGAAAAUAUAUAUAUAUAUUUAUUUAUUUAUUUAUUUGCAUGGAGUCAGGCUAUUGUGUUUGAUUUGUUCUAUCGGUAAUUUCCAUAACUAUUCCUGCAUUAUAGUUGAUGAAUAAGUGCGUUUUCAGCUUGCACAUUAAAGAAUUAUCUGAGCGCCGCAGCCCACAUUUGAAAAUUUCUUGUCACCUUGCUUGCACAGUGAAGAAAAUAGAGCAGAAAAAACUGAAAAGGUCAGCCUCUUAAACCUAUAAUCUCCAUGGUCAAACCUGAAAUUUUCCCUAUAAAUAACAGUUUCAUGGUCCUAAGCUGAAACAAACAAGCUAAUUGCAUUAUAUCAUCAUUAGUUUCAACAAUGUCUUCUUCAAGAUUUGCCUCCCUUCUUCAUCUGUUAACCUUUGCUUUCCUUCUCCAAACAGCUUUUGGAGUUGACCCUCUCUUCCAUUUUUGUUCAAACUCUGCAGGGAAUUUCACUGCCUAUGACACUUAUGAAGGAAACUUAAACAAACUUACCGGUUACCUCUCUAUUCAAGCUCCUCUCCCAGGUUUUGGCCUCGGCAUUCUAGGGCAGGAGCCGAACCAAGCAUUUGGGCUUGCCCUUUGUAGAGGCGAUGUGUCAACCCCAGAUUGCAAAACCUGUGUUGUUGAAGCAGGCAGUGAAAUCCGCAAACGCUGCCCUUACAACAGAGGUGCAAUUAUCUGGUACGAUAACUGUCUUUUGAAGUAUUCAAACACAGAAUUCUUCGGCCAGAUUGAUAACCAGAACAAGUUCUACAUGUUGAAUUCGAAUUCUGUGAGCGAUCCCGUUUCAUUCAAUCAGAAGACUAAGCAACUGCU